UACGAAAGGGGCUAGCGUUGUUCGGAAUUACUGGGCGUAAAGCGCACGUAGGCGGCCUUGUAAGAUGGGGGUGAAAUCCCCGGGCUCAACCCGGGAACUGCCUUCAUGACUGCAAAGCUAGAGGAUGCGAGAGGAUAGCGGAAUUCCGAGUGUAGAGGUGAAAUUCGUAGAUAUUCGGAAGAACACCAGUGGCGAAGGCGGCUAUCUGGCGCAUUUCUGACGCUGAGGUGCGAAAGCGUGGGGAGCAAACAGG
RNAcentral lists this ribosomal RNA (253 nucleotides) under uncultured bacterium. RNAcentral's name for it is "partial 16S ribosomal RNA". It matches the Rfam family "Bacterial small subunit ribosomal RNA", at positions 524 to 776 of the family's 1533-position model. The record is from RNAcentral.